ACUGCCGGCGACAAGCCGGAGGAAGGUGGGGAUGGACGUCAAGUCAUCAUGGCCCUUAUGUCCAGGGCGACACACGUGCUACAAUGGCCGGCACAGCGGGAAGCGGAGGGGCGACCCUGAGCGGAUCCCUUGAAAGACCGGUCCCAGUUCGGAUUGCAGUCUGCAACUCGACUGCAUGAAGUUGGAAUCGCUAGUAAUCGCGGAUCAGCCAAGCCGCGGUGAAUACGUUCCCGGGCCUU
Molecule: ribosomal RNA, 239 nt
Filed under: uncultured Thermovirga sp.
Lineage: Bacteria; Thermotogati; Synergistota; Synergistia; Synergistales; Thermovirgaceae
Description: partial 16S ribosomal RNA
Rfam family: Bacterial small subunit ribosomal RNA
Source: RNAcentral